This 496-nucleotide ribosomal RNA is filed under the name uncultured bacterium. Its description in RNAcentral is "partial 16S ribosomal RNA". It matches the Rfam family "Bacterial small subunit ribosomal RNA", at positions 29 to 507 of the family's 1533-position model. The record is from RNAcentral.
AUGAACGCUGGCGGCGUGCCUAAUACAUGCCAGUCGAGCGAACAGAUGAGGAGCUUGCUCCUCUGACGUUAGCGGCGGACGGGUGAGUAACACGUGGAUAACCUACCUAUAAGACUGGGAUAACUUCGGGAAACCGGAGCUAAUACCGGAUAAUAUAUUGAACCGCAUGGUUCAAUAGUGAAAGACGGUUUUGCUGUCACUUAUAGAUGGAUCCGCGCCGCAUUAGCUAGUUGGUAAGGUAACGGCUUACCAAGGCAACGAUGCGUAGCCGACCUGAGAGGGUGAUCGGCCACACUGGAACUGAGACACGGUCCAGACCCCUACGGGAGGCAGCAGUAGGGAAUCUUCCGCAAUGGGCGAAAGCCUGACGGAGCAACGCCGCGUGAGUGAUGAAGGUCUUCGGAUCGUAAAACUCUGUUAUUAGGGAAGAACAAAUGUGUAAGUAACUAUGCACGUCUUGACGGUACCUAAUCAGAAAGCCACGGCUAACUACGUG